Molecule: ribosomal RNA, 386 nt
Filed under: Thalassiosira sp.
Lineage: Eukaryota; Bacillariophyta; Thalassiosirophyceae; Thalassiosirales; Thalassiosiraceae
Description: partial small subunit ribosomal RNA
Rfam family: Eukaryotic small subunit ribosomal RNA
Source: RNAcentral
AGCUCCAAUAGCGUAUAUUAAAGUUGUUGCAGUUAAAAAGCUCGUAGUUGGAUUUCUGGCAGGAGGGACCGGUCACACACUCUGUGUGUGAACUUGGCUCCCUCUGGCCAUCCUUGGGGAGAUCGUGUUUGGCAUUAAGUUGUCGGGCAUGGGAUACCCAUCGUUUACUGUGAAAAAAUUAGAGUGUUUAAAGCAGGCUUAUGCCGUUGAAUAUAUUAGCAUGGAAUAAUAAGAUAGGACUUUGGAACUAUUUUGUUGGUUUGCGUUACAAAGUAAUGAUUAAUAGGGACAGUUGGGGGUAUUCGUAUUUCGUUGUCAGAGGUGAAAUUCUUGGAUUUCCGAAAGACGAACUACUGCGAAAGCAUUUACCAAGGAUGUUUUCAUUA